GUGAACGCUGGCGGUAGGCCUAACCCCUGCCAGUCGAACGGCAGCACAGUAAGAGCUUGCUCUUACGGGUGGCGAGUGGCGGACGGGUGAGGAAUACAUCGGAAUCUACUUUUUCGUGGGGGAUAACGUGGGGAAACUUACGCUAAUACCGCAUACGACCUACGGGUGAAAGCAGGGGAUCUUCGGACCUUGCGCGAUUGAAUGAGCCGAUGUCGGAUUAGCUAGUUGGCGGGGUAAAGGCCCACCAAGGCGACGAUCCGUAGCUGGUCUGAGAGGAUGAUCAGCCACACUGGAACUGAGACACGGUCCAGACUCCUACGGGAGGCAGCAGUGGGGAAUAUUGGACAAUGGGCGCAAGCCUGAUCCAGCCAUACCGCGUGGGUGAAGAAGGCCUUCGGGUUGUAAAGCCCUUUUGUUGGGAAAGAAAAGCAGCAGGUUAAUACCCCGCUGUUCUGACGGUACCCAAAGAAUAAGCACCGGCUAACUUCGUG
This 491-nucleotide ribosomal RNA is filed under the name uncultured bacterium. Its description in RNAcentral is "partial 16S ribosomal RNA". It matches the Rfam family "Bacterial small subunit ribosomal RNA", at positions 29 to 507 of the family's 1533-position model. The record is from RNAcentral.